Molecule: ribosomal RNA, 433 nt
Filed under: uncultured bacterium
Lineage: Bacteria
Description: partial 16S ribosomal RNA
Rfam family: Bacterial small subunit ribosomal RNA
Source: RNAcentral
AACGAACGCUGGCGGCAUGCCUAACACAUGCAAGUCGAACGAGACCUUCGGGUCUAGUGGCGCACGGGUGCGUAACGCGUGGGAACCUGCCCUUAGGUUCGGAAUAACUCCCCGAAAGGGGUGCUAAUACCGGAUAAUGUCUUCGGACCAAAGAUUUAUCGCCUUUGGAUGGGCCCGCGUUGGAUUAGCUAGUUGGUAGGGUAAAAGCCUACCAAGGCGACGAUCCAUAGCUGGUCUGAGAGGAUGAUCAGCCACACUGGGACUGAGACACGGCCCAGACUCCUACGGGAGGCAGCAGUGGGGAAUAUUGGACAAUGGGCGAAAGACUGAUCCAGCAAUGCCGCGUGAGUGAUGAAGGCCUUAGGGUUGUAAAGCUCUUUUACCCGGGAUAAUAAUGACAGUACCGGGAGAAUAAGCUCCGGCUAACUCCGUG